Molecule: non-coding RNA, 451 nt
Organism: Nicotiana tabacum (common tobacco)
Lineage: Eukaryota; Viridiplantae; Streptophyta; Magnoliopsida; Solanales; Solanaceae
Source: RefSeq, a predicted model, not a curated record
UCAGGAUACAAUUCCCUCUCCCCAACUCACAAAAUCUUUCAGGCCCAAAUUUCCUCUCUUCAUCACCUUCUCUACUGAGAGAAAGUUGGCGCAAUCAGAACAACAAAGACCAACAUGAGGAAUUUGGUAGAUGGUCUAGACUAUCGGCUCUCGCCUUUGUUGACAAACUAAUGUAAAAUGAGAAGAAUGAGGUGAUUGUUGUAGAAAAUUACUCCAAUGGAUCAAAGGAUAAUCUAAAGCAACGGAUUGAUCAUCCAAGAUUUGAGCUAAUUCGUGAAGUGUUACUGAUACAGAUACUAAUGGAAUUCAUGUCGGUGAAAUUUGAUUAAGUCCCUUAACAAAUUAGACGUUGAAGUAAGUUGGUAGCAUAUAAAUUCUAUUUUUUCUGUUCAAGUUUGGAACUUUUUUGUUGCUUCUUUUGUUUGAAGUUAGCUCCAAAAGAUUUUGACAC